This 649-nucleotide ribosomal RNA is filed under the name uncultured bacterium. Its description in RNAcentral is "bacterial SSU rRNA". It matches the Rfam family "Bacterial small subunit ribosomal RNA", at positions 71 to 693 of the family's 1533-position model. The record is from RNAcentral.
UCGGAGUGCUUGCACUCUGUGAAACAAGAUACAGGCUAGCGGCGGACGGGUGAGUAACACGUGGGUAACCUGCCCAAGAGAUCGGGAUAACACCUGGAAACAGAUGCUAAUACCGGAUAACAACAGAUGAUGCCUAUCAACUGUUUAAAAGAUGGUUCUGCUAUCACUCUUGGAUGGACCUGCGGUGCAUUAGCUAGUUGGUAGGGUAACGGCCUACCAAGGCGAUGAUGCAUAGCCGAGUUGAGAGACUGAUCGGCCACAUUGGGACUGAGACACGGCCCAAACUCCUACGGGAGGCAGCAGUAGGGAAUCUUCCACAAUGGACGCAAGUCUGAUGGAGCAACGCCGCGUGAGUGAAGAAGGGUUUCGGCUCGUAAAGCUCUGUUGUUGGUGAAGAAGGACAGGGGUAGUAACUGACCUUUGUUUGACGGUAAUCAAUUAGAAAGUCACGGCUAACUACGUGCCAGCAGCCGCGGUAAUACGUAGGUGGCAAGCGUUGUCCGGAUUUAUUGGGCGUAAAGCGAGUGCAGGCGGCUCGAUAAGUCUGAUGUGAAAGCCUUCGGCUCAACCGGAGAAUUGCAUCAGAAACUGUCGAGCUUGAGUACAGAAGAGGAGAGUGGAACUCCNNNNGUAGCGGUGAAAUGCGUAG